This 770-nucleotide long non-coding RNA is filed under the name Homo sapiens (human). RNAcentral describes it as "non-protein coding lnc-SLC35F5-14:1". The record is from RNAcentral. Lineage: Eukaryota; Metazoa; Chordata; Mammalia; Primates; Hominidae.
GCAGGGAGUGCGCAUGCGGCCGAGUGCGGGACUGGGGCUCCUGGCUGUGGGUGUGGUACUGAGGCUUCAGCGGGUGCCGCCCGCCUAGAGGGAGUGGAGCGGUGAGCACGUCAGGGGUGGGGGGCGCAGGUCAAGCUUUCACCAGUUUUUAAUUCUUUGAUGGGGUAAAUUUGAGCAAUUUUCUCGACUUGUCGACAUUCGUUAUUAACUGAGCAGGAAUCAGGAGAGGAACCCGGUCCUCUCCACACAGCCCAGCAGGUACGCCGCCCAUGUGCCUGUGGAGAAGAGAGGUUCCUGUGGGGCAGACAGAGAGCCUACGACUAGAUUUGCAUCUUUACGUCCUGCGCGGAGGCUGCUACACACAUGCAGAAGUCAUGCUGGUGGCCUGGACAUUGAAGGGAGAGAAGUGGAUUUGGGAGACAUUUAGGAGGAACAGUAAGAGGACCUUGUGCAUGAAUAAUUUGUUUCCACACUACAGAAAGAAUCCCAGUCUUCUUAGAGAACCCAGUGACUUUUUGCACCUUAAAUCUGUGAAAUCCUCAUGUUUUCUUCUGCCGUAUCCAUAGUUCAAACAAAGAUGAGGCAAAGCUAGAUGCAUUCCUGAAGGAACCCAAGAAAUUCCUCUCUUUAUUUCUCUGGAAUGAAAUGAAUUCUCUAGACGACCAGUUCUAACCUUCAAAAACCAAACCUGUUUGUGAGAUCUCCUUCAAAUACUACUGUAGACCCCAGUGUUUAUUCAUUAAAUUUUAAAAUAUUUGUUUUAUUUGGAA